UUUGAGGUUCUAACCUUGAUCCGUGAAUCCGGAUCGGGGACCGUGCAUGGUGGGCAGUUUGACUGGGGCGGUCUCCUCCCAAAAGGUAACGGAGGGAGUACGAAGGUACGCUUAGGGCGGUCGGACAUCGCCCAUAAAGUGCAAUGGCAAAAGCGUGCUUGACUGCGAGACCCACAAGUCGAGCAGGUGCGAAAGCAGGUCAUAGUGAUCCGGUGGUUCUGUAUGGAAGGGCCAUCGCUCAACGGAUAAAAGGUACUCUGGGGAUAACAGGCUGAUACCGCCCAAGAGUUCAUAUCGACGGCGGUGUUUUGGCACCUCGAUGUCGGCUCAUCUCAUCCUGGGGCUGUAGCCGGUCCCAAGGGUAUGGCUGUUCGCCAUUUAAAGAGGUACGUGAGCUGGGUUUAAAACGUCGUGAGACAGUUUUGGUCCCCUAUCUGCCGUGGGGCGCUGGAAAUUUGAAGGGGGGCUGCUCCUAGUACGAGAGGAC
RNAcentral lists this ribosomal RNA (487 nucleotides) under uncultured bacterium. RNAcentral describes it as "bacterial LSU rRNA". It matches the Rfam family "Bacterial large subunit ribosomal RNA", at positions 2213 to 2692 of the family's 2925-position model. The record is from RNAcentral.